UUUUUUCGGGUAGAGGGCCGAACCUCCUA
Molecule: small RNA, 29 nt
Filed under: Bombyx mori (domestic silkworm)
Lineage: Eukaryota; Metazoa; Arthropoda; Insecta; Lepidoptera; Bombycidae
Description: piRNA piR-bmo-1785561
Source: RNAcentral